RNAcentral lists this ribosomal RNA (229 nucleotides) under Staphylococcus epidermidis. RNAcentral's name for it is "partial 23S ribosomal RNA". It matches the Rfam family "Bacterial large subunit ribosomal RNA", at positions 1144 to 1378 of the family's 2925-position model. Lineage: Bacteria; Bacillati; Bacillota; Bacilli; Caryophanales; Staphylococcaceae. The record is from RNAcentral.
ACUAGUCGAGUGACACUGCGCCGAAAAUGUACCGGGGCUAAACAUAUUACCGAAGCUGUGGAUUGUCCUUUGGACAAUGGUAGGAGAGCGUUCUAAGGGCGUCGAAGCAUGAUCGCAAGGACAUGUGGAGCGCUUAGAAGUGAGAAUGCCGGUGUGAGUAGCGAAAGACGGGUGAGAAUCCCGUCCACCGAUUGACUAAGGUUUCCAGAGGAAGGCUCGUCCGCUCUGG